UUUUUUUCCUUCGAUCAUGCUCUCUGUUUGCUGCGCUGUUCACUCUGCCACAGCUGUUGGCGUUAUCGUAUGACCAUGUUGAUCGAGAGGGCCAAACACCUCAUGCCAUUGUUCAUGACCGAAGACGACCAUUGAGGAGGAGCAUGCCGAGCUUCCGGCCAGAGUUCAUCAACAUUUGUAUCAUGGAAAAGUGCUUGUGUUUCUAAUGUGCUAUGGCUUAUAAGGUGGAGCAAAUCGAGCGACUACUUGUUAGAUUUUGA
Molecule: long non-coding RNA, 260 nt
Filed under: Musa acuminata (dwarf banana)
Lineage: Eukaryota; Viridiplantae; Streptophyta; Magnoliopsida; Zingiberales; Musaceae
Description: long non-coding RNA (MACU_LNC009580)
Source: RNAcentral